AUGCUUGCUUGGGCAGCACAUACAUUAAUUUUGGAAAGAUAUGGAGAUUAGCAUGCCCCUGCCCAGGAUGACACACAAAUUUGUGAAGUGUUCCAUAAAAAG
This is a small nuclear RNA of Mustela putorius furo (domestic ferret), 102 nucleotides long. Lineage: Eukaryota; Metazoa; Chordata; Mammalia; Carnivora; Mustelidae. The record is from Ensembl.